This is an RNA transcript of Sorghum bicolor (sorghum), 4367 nucleotides long. RefSeq lists it as uncharacterized. The record is from RefSeq and is a predicted model, not a curated record. The transcript has 2 exons. Lineage: Eukaryota; Viridiplantae; Streptophyta; Magnoliopsida; Poales; Poaceae.
UGAUCGAAGCCGCAAAACCAUCGCCGCCUGCCUCCUUUCCCGCCUCCGCUCUCGUGACCGUGAUGUCGCGCGCGUGAUCCCAGAAAGGCAGCAGCGGUCGGACCCUUGCUGAACACUCGCGCUAUCGCUUGCGAAGUUGCCGACGACGGGGUCGCGUGCGAGACCCAGAUCCGGCCCAGAAUGAGGCCCAUCUCUGUAGGCACGCAAACGCAACGCAACCUACCGCCGCGCCGCCGCCGCCCGGCGCCUCUUCCUUCCCCUUCAGCAGUCGUCUCCCCUGGCUCGCGGUCUCCGCUCUUCUCCAGUAUGCGGGUAUUUCUGAUUUCUGUGCCCACGCACAGGCGUCAGGCGGACCCGGCUCUUUUUACAGGGACGAUACCCUAGGCCAUCACAGUCACAGUCACAUCAUUCAGGAAGGUAUCUAGACGUUUAUGUUAACAGCAUUUCAGACCAAUCCCAGAGAAAGGCUACACCAGACAGCCACCAUGUUACAAAGGAACGAAAUGCAGUGCUGUUAGAGAAUGAAGUGACACGGCGGACCAGGUUACUCACUAUACUUGUAUCUCUUCUGUUCAGCUAACGUUAGUGCAAUGUGCAAUGGCCGCGUUGUAGCGCAGAAAGCAAUAGAAUUCCUAGUGCAUUUCUGAGGAUGCCAUUUGUGUGUCUUUCUACGAGUAGAGCCUGAUUUAUGUUGUUAUGGCAGUAAAUACCCAGGCUCAGGACGCUUUGCUUUAUGGUAAUGUUGCAGAUAAAUUGGUGUCUUUUUUUAAUGUUUUUUUUUUUGCUUGCAUGUCAUCAUUAGUUGUGAUGCAUUCUUGUAGCAGAGAUCUGUGGACAGUUUAGCUUUGAUGUGUUUUAUGCAUGAAAUUGAGAAUUAAGUAGUUUAUCUGACUAGUUAAAGAAACUAAAAGAAUGUGCAUGGCUUACUGAGAUAUUCUUUUUAUUUGAGAGAUUACAAGUUUAGUUCAUCUUCUUUGGCGUGCAAAGAUGUACAACACCUUCUCAAUAAUUAGGCGACUCAUCCAAUUCUUCUGAUAUUCUUGGGUCAAAUCAUUACAUAGUGUGCAAAGGUGUAGGAAUUUUCUUGAGUGUGAACCACAAGUUGUUUGAAUAAUGAUCACUACUGACUUUAGUUAUGUGCCCACUAGCUUGCUUAAUUGACUUCUUUCAUCUGGAAAAUAAUGAUUCCUAGUGACCUUGAGAGUUUAAAUCGCUUAGUUGCAUCACACGUUCACACUACUACUUACAGGUUCAAAGAAAAUGUCUAAUUCUCAGUAAUUUGCAAAUGCAUUAGUUGCAUCACACUAGUUGUAGGAUAGAGUUUAUAACGAUAUAAAGUUUGUUAGUAUGAGGUUUUCACUAUUCAAGUUUUGUAUCCAUGAAUUAGCAAACACGUUGGUCUAACAUAUAAGAAGGUUCAUGUACAACACUUGGUCAAGUAUUUUUAUGAUCAGUUCACAAGGAAUAACAUUCAUGUGAUUUGCCGGGGUUAUAUGUCUAGCUUUAACCGUAUGAGUUUCUUUCCUGUUUAUAGGUUCUAUAUUUUCUUUUAAGGUAAGGUUUUGUAUGGCUGUAUGGAGUAGGUGUGUAGGACCACAAGUCCCUUCCUUGCUCCUUCCACCUCUUCUUUGUUCUUCCUUCCAUCAUGACUUGCAGUCUGUCAUAUCAGAUGGCAUUGUGCUCCUCUGAAGCAUCUAUCAUUUUUCAGUUGAAAUCUUACAGACUCUGCCUCUUCAUUUCACAAACUUCCUACUGUUUCAAUGUUAUGUUCUUUUCCUGGAUGUUCUGUUUAAUGAUUUUCAAUUCACAACAUGAAUCUUAGACAGUGCAUAUAGACUGGAUAACUCUUGAAGUUUGAUCGUACGGAUUUUCCCUAAUUGUGAAUGUGUUCUUGAAUAUAGGAUAAGGACAACAUCUUGUUAGUACUGUACCAUAAUAUGUUGAAAAGUGAUGAGCUUAAAGCCAUCUAGUUGCUGUGGGUGUCUGUAGCUCAGUGUUGUCGUUGAUACCUAUGACACAUAUUUCUGGUCUAGUUUCCUGUGAGGUUGUUCACUUGGAUGUGUAACUUUUGAUCCAAAACUUGCGUAUUCAUUCCUGGUUUCCUUCGCUACAACUAGAUCUAGAUUUAUGGCUUUUGGUUCCAGGUUUCCUUCACUAUAACUAGCUUUUCAGUGUUAACCAAUAGUUACAACUUACAACUAAUUAAUCACGUCAUAGGAGAAAUAGAUCUGGUAGUCGAUGUAUUAGGUGAUGUGAGUUGAUCUCGACGUCCCCUGAGAGGUUAUCUGGCUCUAGUUUCUUUGCAAGAACUUUUACUUGUUAGAUUUCUCUGGCCUUGUACAUGUCACAUGUAUGUUUGGUUUAUGCCCAAGUUAACCUUUGCCAAAAAUUUAUCUGUCCCCAAAAGUUUUGAAAACCAUACCAAACACCUAUCGUCCUCGGAAGUUUAGAGAACCCCUUUGGCCAAGCUUUAGGCAUUGAGUAUUGAAGUUGAAGCAUGGGGUUUGGAUUUGCUGUAAAUUGGUCGAUUGUAUCUCUUUCUAUUAAUAUGGAUGCUUAAUGGCCAACUCCUAGAUCUGGUUCAGCCCUCUUACAGAAUUAGAUGUGGUGGUGUUGGAUCACAAUUAGUCUUGGAAUCUAUGGAUGGUUAAUGGCCUCCACUUUCUUUUGUGGCUGACACUCCUAGCCUGUAGUUUCUGCAGGAUUUAUUUUUCAAGUAGAGUUACAUAAAGGGAGCUGAAGGCCAGUUUCUUAAAGAAGGCCUGUUAUGAUUAUUGUUCAAUGCUGUCUGUCUAAAUCACCAGUUUCUAGGCUUCCUAAACCUAUAUUGCAUUACAACGUAAUCAGCUUGACAUGAGAUUCACAGUGACAAAUUGUGAUAUCAGUUACCUAUGUUCUUUCAGUACAGACUUCCAUGAUUAUUGUUUUUAUUUGCAAAGAACAAGGUAGUGUUGAUAUUCUGAAUUGAGCUAGGCUCAGUUGGUGGGACCACGGGAGGCGUUGGUGUACACCCACACGCAGGUCUUUGUCCUUGUCGACUUCAAUUUGGAUGACUAUUUCUUCUUAUUUACAUGCCAUCUAGUUAGGUUGUUUAAAAUUUUUUUAAUAUGUUGAUUACUUGAUAUUGUGGCACUUCAUUGUAAGUUGAAACCGUGUAGUCUAUUCUCUAAGAUUGGAAUAUAUGUUGUGCAUUCAUUUAUGUGGCGGUAAUUUCUGGACUCUACUACAUGCUGCUUCUUUUUAGUAGACUAUGUAUUGAGGAGAGGUGUCUAGUGUAUCCUCUCAAUAUAUGUCCCAUACUAGUGCACUUGCUUCCAUUUGUUUGACAGUGAUUUUUGUGGUGCAAUGACAAUUGUUUGUUUGAGAAUGCGCAAGAGAAUUGUGUGAUUAAGGGGGGAACUAGUGCUUGAUGAUACUUGGACUGUUAGCGAUGUCGUGUAGCGUAUUUGGCGUGUUUGCCUAAUGACAGGGUUCUGAACCGAGCUACAUUUUAUGACUGUUACAUGGCAACGACACAAGUGCAGUUGCUAAACUCUGCUUGUCUCCUAUUAAUUCAUAUGAAGCCCCAGAUGACUUUAGCAUGUUAGCAAUUUAGCAUACCAGGUCUAGCGACUGUAGCUGCCACUGCCAUGUUGCUCAGAUGGUUUGUCCCAUUCCUUGGUUCGGCCUGCUGUAUUUGGUGUUGCUAAGUCCAUUAGAUUACUGAGAAGGUGUAUUCUUUUGCAGCAUCAAAGUCUCUCCAAUAUAAAAUUGAAAGGAAUAUGUGGCUGGCCAAGAUUCUAUUACUAGGUCACUUCGAGGUUGAAUUCUUCCGUAGGUAAUGAGUUGGCUGCAGAAGGGCUCGCAGAAUCUACGUCUGUUUCUGAAAGUAGUAGCGCUUUUGAGUUGUUCUGAUGUCGGUAUCCUGGUAGGAUUCCUAGCUACCUCGGGGGCAUAGCGAGCAGCCGAGAGAGAGGGCCUUUGCAUGAGCCUUGAGACAGUGUCUUGGAAUCCAUCCAAUGCGUUGAAGGGAGAAUACAGAAAAGUGGUGUGGCCCAGAAGCAACAGCGAAGUUAGACGCUGAUGGAUGGCAACAUCGCCUACAAAGACCGAUACCUGAUUGCCGAAACCAAGCUAUCCGGAUCCAGACCCGAACUGUAAGAUACCUGAAAUACCCGACUAUAAUUUCAGAUAAUAACUUUAGAUACUUUUUGAUUAGUUUGGGUAUUAAUACCGGUACCCGAAGUACUCGUAGCAUACAAAAUUCAUGUUUGUGGGAUCCAUGCGUGUGAGUGUUUAUGUUUAUUUGUUUGAAUAACGUUUGUGUAGAUGCUAAAGACAUGUUAUUUGGUACUUUGGUAUUUUAUAUAGCUCUUUGAUUGAUUGUA